GCAAACUUGGUCAUUUAGAGGAAGUAAAAGUCGUAACAAGGUUUCCGUAGGUGAACCUGCGGAAGGAUCAUUAUAUGGCCCAGUACCACCGGCCGUCUUGAAAAGGACAUCCCCGGACAGCCCUGGCAAGGCUGAUCGGGGCGCUGGCGCCAAGUAUUGGUCGGUCUAUGUCCUCGUGUCUAGUACGCACGCGAUCGUGCGGAAUGUCAGCCCCGCCGUCCACCCCCCAAAGUGCUCCCGCCCGGAGCGGACGGUUCCCCCAAAGUGAGGCGCGGCACCCAAAAGCCGCCGAGACAUAUUCGGGAAUCCUUGACUAUGAGUACUUGUGUUGAUUCCUUCGGCGGAUCUGUCCGCCGACUGGAACCCCCAUAAACCCUUUUUUACAAGCAUCAAUUCUUCUGAUACCAACGUAAAUCGUUACAACUUUCAACAAUGGAUCUCUUGGUUCUGGCAUCGAUGAAGAACGCAGC
Molecule: unclassified non-coding RNA, 470 nt
Filed under: uncultured fungus
Lineage: Eukaryota; Fungi
Description: partial contains small subunit ribosomal RNA, internal transcribed spacer 1, and 5.8S ribosomal RNA
Rfam family: Eukaryotic small subunit ribosomal RNA (bases 1-73)
Source: RNAcentral